AUGAAGGAGAGUUUUGCUGCUAGUCCUAUUGAAAUCUGUGACAUGGAAGCCGAUGUGUUCAAGUCCUUGCUCCAUUUCAUAUACACCGACUCAAUUCCUUCGGUGCUUGAUGUGGUGAUGGCUGGUCAUCUACUCGUUGCGGCUGACAGGUAUAACAUUGUCAGGCUCAAGCUGAUAUGCGAGGAGAAAUUGUGCAAUCAUAUUGAUUCCAGCAUGGUGGCAACCAGUUUGGUUUUAUCUGAGCAACAUGGUUUCCAUCGUCUCAAAGAAGCUUGUUUGCAGUUCCUUGCUUCUCCAUCCAAUUUGGAGGCGAUGGUGGCAAGUGAUGGGUAUGAGCAUUUGAAAUCCAGCUGCCCGUCUGUCCUCAAGGAGGUGAUAUCUAGAAUCCUGCCGGCUGAACUGAAAGUGGCAAAGGAUAUUAUCAUGGCAAUGUGGAAGUAA
RNAcentral lists this ribosomal RNA (441 nucleotides) under Triticum aestivum (bread wheat). RNAcentral's name for it is "partial small subunit ribosomal RNA". The record is from RNAcentral. Lineage: Eukaryota; Viridiplantae; Streptophyta; Magnoliopsida; Poales; Poaceae.